RNAcentral lists this long non-coding RNA (1459 nucleotides) under Vitis vinifera (wine grape). Its description in RNAcentral is "long non-coding RNA (VVIN_LNC001006)". Lineage: Eukaryota; Viridiplantae; Streptophyta; Magnoliopsida; Vitales; Vitaceae. The record is from RNAcentral.
AUAUCUCAAAACUACUCAAAACAAUAAGAUUAAAUAAAUAUUCAUUAUAGUCCAAAAUAAAAGUUCACAAUUAACAACUUAAUCAAAAUAAAGCUUCAUAACAAAUCCAUGAAUCAUAAUCACUAAAACAAAUCCCAAAAUCCAAAAAAAAAAAAAAAAAAACACAAUAACAGAAAAUGUCACGCUCCACUAGGCCGCUCCAGGAGCAUCUUGAAGUCCUCCCUGCCCUACCUGUGGAUCCUCAGGAGAGAUAUCUGCAUCUAAAAAGGUGUAACAAGGAAGGGAUGAGCAUUUCCACAUUGCUCAGUAUGGUGCCUAACACCCAAGGGGUUAAGGGGAUUAUUAAGUUUCAAAGAAUACGAAAAGAACACUUCAACACCACAGGAACAAUUCAACAAUAUCAAUCAAACCACAUAGUUUAAUAUAUAAUUUUAUACACAAUUUCACAAUAUUCAACAAUUACAUGAAUGCACAUGAACGUGUGACACACAGUCAUACAAUGCACUAUUGUUCUCGGGUUUUCACCGAAGGAUACGCGUCCGCACCCAAAUACACUCCCCAUUCGGAGUCUUCCCGGGGUAACUUUUGGGUCUUUCACCCUAGGAAUCUCUCUCCCUUCUUAAUUCGCCCCACACGGCUUUCACUUCUCAUCACUAUUUUUUUUUUUUCCAUUUCAUACACUUUUCACAAUCUUCAUAAUUUUAUUUAUUUUCUACAUAACCAUGAUGCAAAUGAAUGCCACAAACUCCAACAUUCCUCAAUAAUUUCAACAAUUCCAACAUUCCUCAAUAAUUCCAAUAAAAUAAUUUCACACAUUAAAAUUUCUGAUAAUAUCCCAAAUAAAUAUUCAAAAAUUUGCAUAUCAAAAAUCUUGAAAUUUUACCACACUUACGGAAUUUUUCAACCACUAUAAUAAUUUCUAAUAUUCGAAAUCAACUAACUUUCUAUCAUAAAAAUUCCAAAAAUUUUCUAACUAAUGCUUAAAAAUUCACAAAUCACUAUAUUUGAAAUUUAACCCUAAUUUUGGAAUUUUUCAACCCUUCCAAUAAUUUUUUUUUCAUUUUAAAACAAUUAAUUAUCAAUCAAAAUCAAUUUCCUGCAAUUACAAAAAUUCCAAACAAAUUCCAAAUAUUCUGGAAAAAUUCAUACAACCCCCAUAAUUCCUAAUUAACUCAUAUUGACAAUAUUUACAAUUUUUUUUCAAGGGAAAAACAUAAAAAUUUAAGUUUUAGGGUUAGGGUCCCCUACCUCGGAUCUGAAAAUUUGGCUGUAAAAAACGAAAUCAGCCACCGCAAGCUUGUUCUUCUAGUCGAAUAGAGUACUUCCUUCGAAUUUGAGCCGAAACGGAGAUCGUUUGGCCGUCCAAACGGUCGGUCAAAGAUCCGACGAGUGCCCUAAUUUAUUCACAGUAACCUUUCUCUCUCUCUCUUCCCACGCGUGCUGCACUUCUCCCCUUUUC